CGCUCCGGCUGCGCUGCCCGCGGCCGAGGUGCGCGCUGUAUGCCGGUGGGGCAUCGCUCCCAGCUGGGGUUGUUCCCGCUGCGGGGGUCCUGCGCGCCCCGCGGUUGGAGGUCCCGCUCCCACGGCUUGAGCGCAAGUGCUGUGGGCUGCGGCUGAGGGAGAUGGGAUGGUUCGGUGUGGGGAGGAGGAGGUUAGGGGGAGAGCGCGUUGUUCUCUACGCUCUCUGAAAGGAGAGUGGUGAAGUGGGGAUUGGGUCUUUUUUCUCAGGUAGCGAUGAAAGAAUGAGAGGGAACGGCCUCGAGUUGUGCCAGGGAAAGUUCAGGUUGGACGUUAGGAAAAAUUCUUCUCUAGAAGUGGUGAUGCAUUACAACGAGCUGCCCAGGGAGGGGAUGGGGUCACUGGUCCUGGAGGCAUUCAAGAACUGUGUAGAUGUGGCACUGAGGGAUGUGGUCAGUGGGCAGCAUUGGUGGCAGGUGGAUGGUUGGACUAGAGGGUCUUAGUGUUUUUUUCCAACCUUACUGAUUCAAUGACUCAUGUGGGCUUUUCUCUCUUACCAGUGGGAAGCAAGGAGGAAGGAUGCUUAGAAGAAAGGCUGAUGGCCUGUUCUCACUGGCAAUGGGGGAAAGGGUGAGGCAGGACUGGGAAGGAUAAAGCUAUCACUGCCGGCUGGGAGCCAAGCAGACAGGCUGAAGUUUCGUGAGCAGCACUGCACCGACAGACAGAUGUCAUGCCCAGGCUGGCCUGCUGUAUCUAUUCCGGGUUUUGCAGCAGGGCAGAGGCCCGGGGCUGUGCAGCCGGCAGGUGGCAGCAGCUCGUUUCCAGCGGGGCCGGAUGGAUCCCGGUGCGGGGCUGCGGGCACUGAGAUCGGUGGAAUUACUUUCCAGUUUACUGCAGUGGACAAAGUGCGUGGCAAAGACGUGUUUCCUUUUUACACGCUGUGCUGGUUUUGGUUGGAUUACAGCUGUGACCUCAAUCUCUGUACACAAAGUUACUUUCAGGAAGAUUCAGAGGACCUCAGCAUUUCAUGCUGACAACAGGAUGGGAUGGAACAGAGCAGCCCCACGCUCACCAUGGAGGAGGAAAUGGGACCAGUGCUGCACAUUUUCCAGUUUCUGGCAGUCCCCUCUCAGGAGAGGCAUGAAAAGCAGGAGGUCUGGGCUCAAGAAUUUUCCAGCCAACCCAGCAGCCUGCAAAGGGGGCCCCUUACUAACACUGGUUUGGCCCCAUUCUGCAUCAGCUCCAACGUGCUGCCAGUGCUGGACUUUGCUUGGCACAGUGCAAUGCAGAGGAUCUGGUCUGCCAGGAGCAGGACUCACCUCUUGUUGGAGCAGUCAGGAAUGUGGACUCAAGAUGAAAUGA
RNAcentral lists this long non-coding RNA (1359 nucleotides) under Meleagris gallopavo (turkey). Its description in RNAcentral is "lncRNA (ENSMGAG00000020456.1)". Lineage: Eukaryota; Metazoa; Chordata; Aves; Galliformes; Phasianidae. The record is from RNAcentral.